GACAGAGGGUGCAAGCGUUGUUCGGAAUCAUUGGGCGUAAAGCGCACGUAGGCGGUUGUGUAAGUCGAAUGUGAAAUCCCUGGGCUUAACCCAGGAAGUGCAUCCGAUACUGCACGACUUGAGUCCCGGAGAGGGUGGUGGAAUUCCUGGUGUAGAGGUGAAAUUCGUAGAUAUCAGGAGGAACACCGGUGGCGAAGGCGACCACCUGGACGGAGACUGACGCUGAGGUGCGAAAGCGUGGGGAGCAAACAGG
RNAcentral lists this ribosomal RNA (253 nucleotides) under uncultured bacterium. RNAcentral's name for it is "partial 16S ribosomal RNA". It matches the Rfam family "Bacterial small subunit ribosomal RNA", at positions 524 to 776 of the family's 1533-position model. The record is from RNAcentral.